UACGUAGGGGGCUAGCGUUGUUCGGAAUCACUGGGCGUAAAGGGUGCGUAGGCGGCUUUGUAAGUCAGUUGUGAAAUAUGACAGCUCAACUGUCAGGGUGCCAUUGAUACUGCAGAGCUUGAGUACAGAUGAGGUAGGCGGAAUUGACGGUGUAGCGGUGAAAUGCUUAGAUAUCGUCAAGAACACCGAUAGCGAAGGCAGCUUACUGGGCUGUAACUGACGCUGAGGCACGAAAGUGUGGGGAUCAAACAGG
Molecule: ribosomal RNA, 253 nt
Filed under: uncultured bacterium
Lineage: Bacteria
Description: partial 16S ribosomal RNA
Rfam family: Bacterial small subunit ribosomal RNA
Source: RNAcentral